RNAcentral lists this long non-coding RNA (208 nucleotides) under Gossypium raimondii (Peruvian cotton). RNAcentral's name for it is "long non-coding RNA (GRAI_LNC006453)". The record is from RNAcentral. Lineage: Eukaryota; Viridiplantae; Streptophyta; Magnoliopsida; Malvales; Malvaceae.
UAACCCAUUAAUCAAAACACGCAGAUCCCCCAUGGAGCGGGUCGGGUCGCGUACAGAUAUAGGCCGUGAAACGGCGUCGUUUCCCUUUUGUUAUUUAAAACAAAAAUUUUCUUGAAAAUCAUUUCUGCUUCAGUUCCAGAAAAAAAACAAAAAAAAAGAAAGAAAGAAUUUGUUAGGGUUUUAACCUUAACCCUUUGAACACCGCCGC